This 67-nucleotide transfer RNA is filed under the name Phyllodromica sp. Phil. Its description in RNAcentral is "tRNA-Tyr". Lineage: Eukaryota; Metazoa; Arthropoda; Insecta; Blattodea; Ectobiidae. The record is from RNAcentral.
AGUAGGGUGGCUGAGAUCAAAUAGGUGAUAGAUUGUAAAUCUAUCAAGGGGUUAAACCCUCCUACUA